UCCGUAGGCGGACUAAUAAGUCAGGGGUGAAAUACCACAGCUCAACUGUGGAACUGCCUUUGAUACUGUUAGUCUUGAAUUAUAUGGAAGUAGAUAGAAUGUGUAGUGUAGCGGUGAAAUGCUUAGAGAUUACACAGAAUACCGAUUGCGAAGGCAGUCUACUACGUAUAUAUUGACGCUAAUGGACGAGAGCGUGGGGAGCGAACAGGAUUAGAUACCCUGGUAGUCC
Molecule: ribosomal RNA, 229 nt
Filed under: uncultured bacterium
Lineage: Bacteria
Description: partial 16S ribosomal RNA
Rfam family: Bacterial small subunit ribosomal RNA
Source: RNAcentral